RNAcentral lists this ribosomal RNA (427 nucleotides) under uncultured bacterium. RNAcentral's name for it is "partial 16S ribosomal RNA". It matches the Rfam family "Bacterial small subunit ribosomal RNA", at positions 355 to 774 of the family's 1533-position model. The record is from RNAcentral.
UGGGGAAUAUUGCACAAUGGGCGCAAGCCUGAUGCAGCCAUGCCGCGUGUAUGAAGAAGGCCUUCGGGUUGUAAAGUACUUUCAGCGAGGAGGAAGGCGGUAAGGUUAAUAACCUUAUCGAUUGACGUUACUCGCAGAAGAAGCACCGGCUAACUCCGUGCCAGCAGCCGCGGUAAUACGGAGGGUGCAAGCGUUAAUCGGAAUUACUGGGCGUAAAGCGCACGCAGGCGGUCUGUCAAGUCGGAUGUGAAAUCCCCGGGCUCAACCUGGGAACUGCAUUCGAAACUGGCAGGCUAGAGUCUUGUAGAGGGGGGUAGAAUUCCAGGUGUAGCGGUGAAAUGCGUAGAGAUCUGGAGGAAUACCGGUGGCGAAGGCGGCCCCCUGGACAAAGACUGACGCUCAGGUACGAAAGCGUGGGGAGCAAACA